CAGCCGCCGCGGUAAUACAUAGGGUGCGAGCGUUGUCCGGAAUUACUGGGCGUAAAGAGCUCGUAGGCGGUUUGUCACGUCGUCUGUGAAAUCCUAGGGCUUAACCCUGGACGUGCAGGCGAUACGGGCUGACUUGAGUACUACAGGGGAGACUGGAAUUUCUGGUGUAGCGGUGGAAUGCACAGAUAUCAGGAAGAACACCGAUGGCGAAGGCAGGUCUCUGGGUAGUAACUGACGCUGAGGAGCGAAAGCAUGGGUAGCGAACAGGAUUAGAGACCCCCGUAGUCCCUGUCUCUUAUAC
RNAcentral lists this ribosomal RNA (301 nucleotides) under uncultured bacterium. RNAcentral's name for it is "partial 16S ribosomal RNA". It matches the Rfam family "Bacterial small subunit ribosomal RNA", at positions 509 to 807 of the family's 1533-position model. The record is from RNAcentral.